RNAcentral lists this transfer RNA (67 nucleotides) under Conus nobilis. RNAcentral's name for it is "tRNA-Asp". Lineage: Eukaryota; Metazoa; Mollusca; Gastropoda; Neogastropoda; Conidae. The record is from RNAcentral.
AAGGGAUUAGUUAAAUUAUAAUAUAAGAUUGUCAGUCUUACGUUACUAGUGGAACUAGUAUUUCUUA